UGGGCACUUAAAGCAACCAUUUAUUGUAGAAUGAGUAAUGAAGGAAAAGGGUUCAAUAGCUAUCAUCAACUAGUAAGAUUGUGGACUUGGCCCUGCUGGGAUAAAUCAUGGUGAAUGCAUCAGAAAUGCUUUUAAUUUUCAGGAGACAGAAUAAUUUCUAAAUUCAUGGAGGAGAAAGAGACCUUAAUGAAAUUCUAACACACCUAUCUCUUCAUUGUCCACACCUGACACAACUGGUAAAUAUUAUAUUUUGUACUGAUUGAAUAGAUAAUAAUUUUCUCAUCUAAAUAUCUAUUCUUCUGAAAAUGUUGCAGUUGUUUAAUUUGUCAGAUUAGUAAAAUGCUCCUGUCCAAAUUUUUCUGCCUUAACUCCAAAUUUGAUCCAUAUGAUUAUUUACCAGUGUGACCU
RNAcentral lists this long non-coding RNA (408 nucleotides) under Vulpes vulpes (red fox). RNAcentral describes it as "lncRNA (ENSVVUG00000011037.1)". Lineage: Eukaryota; Metazoa; Chordata; Mammalia; Carnivora; Canidae. The record is from RNAcentral.